AUCAACUCAAUCUUCAUCAAUACACAUCUCGAACUUUCUUCUUCUUCUUCAACAAUCAAGCUCUGCUUCUGGCUUUUCUCCUAGUCCAAUUCCCAUUUAAUCUUCAUCGUCUCCACCAUAGUUCUCGCCGACUCCAUCACCAUAACCCGUCGUCGAUUCACCUUCGCCCAAAACUCUAUCUCCGAUUUCCCUUCCUCCAUCUUCGUCGGACGCUCCAAUGAAUGCACCAUCCUUCUUCAUCUCCAACGCUACCCAAUCAUCUCCAUCUCAAUCUCCGUCGGCCGACGACACACCUGCAGUUUCUUCUCCAGUGUUGUCGAAUCUGAGCGACGUCAACCACAACAACCUCAACGUAUACGGAGUAGAGACCUUUGUUCAAAUCAACAGUUCCAAAAACGCUGAUAUGCCAAACUAGAGAAGUUUCGAUGUGGGAAGAAGGGUUAUGGGCUCAGGUUGCUUGAUGAUAUAUUUAAAGGAGGUAUUUCGUUUUGCCUUUGCGAUUGUUUCUGGUGAAACUGUAAACAAUUGGAGGUGGUUUCUGCAAAAGAUAUCGGAUGUCUUACUGGGCUCUUUUUUGGGUUUUUUGAGUUUUUUUUGUAUGAAAUGGUAUUAACAAUGCACUUCUAUGACAUGG
Molecule: long non-coding RNA, 634 nt
Organism: Prunus persica (peach)
Lineage: Eukaryota; Viridiplantae; Streptophyta; Magnoliopsida; Rosales; Rosaceae
Exons: 3
Source: RefSeq, a predicted model, not a curated record